AGAGUUUGAUCAUGGCUCAGAUUGAACGCUGGCGGCAUGCUUUACACAUGCAAGUCGAACGGUAACAGGCCGCAAGGUGCUGACGAGUGGCGAACGGGUGAGUAAUGUAUCGGAACGUGCCCAGUCGUGGGGGAUAACGCAGCGAAAGCUGCGCUAAUACCGCAUACGAUCUAUGGAUGAAAGCGGGGGACCGUAAGGCCUCGCGCGAUUGGAGCGGCCGAUAUCAGAUUAGGUAGUUGGUGGGGUAAAGGCUCACCAAGCCAACGAUCUGUAGCUGGUCUGAGAGGACGACCAGCCACACUGGGACUGAGACACGGCCCAGACUCCUACGGGAGGCAGCAGUGGGGAAUUUUGGACAAUGGGCGCAAGCCUGAUCCAGCAAUGCCGCGUGCAGGAAGAAGGCCUUCGGGUUGUAAACUGCUUUUGUACGGAACGAAACGGUCCUGGUUAAUACCCGGGGCUAAUGACGGCACCGUAAGAAUAAGCACCGGCUAACUACGUGCCAGCCGCCGCGGUAAUAC
Molecule: ribosomal RNA, 521 nt
Filed under: Hydrogenophaga sp.
Lineage: Bacteria; Pseudomonadati; Pseudomonadota; Betaproteobacteria; Burkholderiales; Comamonadaceae
Description: bacterial SSU rRNA
Rfam family: Bacterial small subunit ribosomal RNA
Source: RNAcentral